AUGAAUCACGAAGAUGGCGCUGAUGCUUGGGGUUCUCAAAGGCCAGAAACGCCUCCUUGGGAUGCAACAGAGUACAGUCAGCUCAUCUCUUCAGGGCCGUUGCUGCCACUACUAGAGCAGUAUGCAAGCGUAGAGCCUUCAUGCAGCGCGUGGCAUCAGGCAGCACCAAUGUACCUGCCAUCGACGUCAUACACAGGUUAUUACGCUGGUGGUAACCCGACAAACGUCUCGUGGCAAGCUUCAGAAACUGUAGGUGGAGCACGUCAUUUUGGUGUCACAAACAACACAAGAAGGUCAAAUGCAACACAACAAGGGCCUACAACUACAGUUAACAGCGGCGCGGGGACAUCUACUGCGGAGAGCUCUGAACGCACGGAAGACGCGUACCACCAGCCAGCAGACAAUCAUACCGCAGACAAUUUCGAGUCACAGUCGAGAAUGGCAAUCAUUCCAGCAAUACCGACAAGCACCCCUUUGAACACAAGCACUGCCAACACUCAAGUGGAUGGAAUUGCCGCCGAUACUGAAGUGAAUGAUGAAACUGACGACGAGGCAGAAGGGGAUGAAGAUGGCGGGCAAUCAGAGAUCAUGGUACCUCAGCCACCGUACAUUGGGCAGAGAUUUAAAUCAUUUGAAGAAGCAAAGGAAUACUACCAGACAUAUGCAAAGUUCCAUGGAUUUGCGGUCAACACCGAGUACCAUAGGAAAAUUAAGAAAACUAAUGAAUACAACAGAGGUGAGAUGAGGUGCCACAAGGCACGGAGGAAUAAGAAGGGGAAAGGUGAUGCGCCUGUUGUUCCGGAACGAAAAAGAGGAAUCAUUCUCAAGACGGGAUGCCCUGUCCGGUGUAAGCUGAACGUAGAUGGAACACAGUAUGUGGUCACUGAAUAUUUUGACGAGCACAACCACAAACUCAUAAAGAAGUUCGACCUGGUUAAAUUUCUGACCGCCCACAGAGGAUUCACCCCAGUCGAAAGGCAAUUCGUAAAGCUGCUACAUGAUUGUAACGUCGGUCCAUCAAGAAUGGUCCAGAUACUAUCACUCAUCCACAGCAAAAAGGGGAAACUGAGUAGCAUGCCGUACAUACCGGCUGACGUCACAAACCUACAGGCCAAUGCAGAUGCCAUGUUUAAUGAACUGUACUUCCAUUGGGGCAUGUUGGUGGACGAACAUACGUUCAAGGUGUGUUCUAUUUUGGGCAUGUCGGAUUCAGAACCUGAAGACCCAGACAAAGGAAGGAACUACUUCGUGAAAACCUCGAUCGAGCAAGGCGAAUACUACUGCCAAUGCUGCAAGUUCGAACGGGACGGCAUUGUGUGUUGUCACAUACUAAAGGUAAUGGACAUGAACGCUGUGACACGGAUGCCCCGCCAUUUCAUAAGGCGGCGAUGGACUCGGGACGCUGACGACGCGUUGGCGCCGCAGACAACACACGCGGUUCUGGCUGUGCAUGACGAGAGACCUGAGUCAACCAUGGAAGCCGCGAGGCACGUUGUGCUUACAAAGAACUAUGCUGAGCUAAUUGAUGAAGCGUGCAAGAAUGAUGAGACAGCGAGAGUCACAGAAAAACACAGGAAGGCACUGAAAAGAGAGCUUGAGGAGAUCAAGAAGAGGAAAGCUGAGGAAGCCUUACACCGGUUCCCCCGCACAUCAAGUGUGCCUUCAUCGACGGGGCCAUCUUCUGAAAACUCGGAGAUAGGAUCUGGAACAGCAAGCACACAAACCCAGGUCAGGAACCCACCCCGUUCCAUCACAAAGGGCCGCCCCAGAGAGAUAAGGUACAAGUUAGGAUUGGAGAUUCAAGCAAAACACAAGAAAAUGAAGAAAGGGGCGGGCAAUCCAUGA
This 1845-nucleotide ribosomal RNA is filed under the name Triticum aestivum (bread wheat). RNAcentral describes it as "partial small subunit ribosomal RNA". Lineage: Eukaryota; Viridiplantae; Streptophyta; Magnoliopsida; Poales; Poaceae. The record is from RNAcentral.